AGUUUCACAAAGAAACCGUCAGCCAGUAAGGUACCAAAUGCCAAACCCUCUGUCUACUGAUAUUGAAGUAUAUGGAAUGCAAGGAAUCCCAAGUGAUGUCUUAGCAGCUCACUAUGGAGAGGAAGGUACGGGCCUGCAUUCAAUUUUCUGUUUGGUUUUGUGGAUUUUUCAAACUUUGGUUUGAAAAAGUGUAAACCAAUCUGAACCAAAAUAAAUUUGGUUUGACUUUUCUCUUUUCGGGUAGGCUUUUUCGGUUCCGUUAUGUCAAUAAUUAGUAAUAUAAUCAAAGUUAUAUAUGCAAUUAAAAAAAUACAAUACAAGGAGAAGUAAUAAUAUUGAAUUUCUUAAUGUACUUUCUAAUAUAAAUCGCAAGUAAAACUUAAAACAUAAUACUUAAAAAGUAUACAUAUUAUUGAUGUACAAACAUAAAAUAUAAACUAAAUCAUAAUAAGAAGGCAAUAAUUAAAAAGGGAUAAAAGUCGUUAAGUCUAACUUAUU
This is a long non-coding RNA of Solanum pennellii, 498 nucleotides long. RefSeq lists it as uncharacterized. NCBI's taxonomy places the organism in Eukaryota, Viridiplantae, Streptophyta, Magnoliopsida, Solanales, Solanaceae. The record is from RefSeq and is a predicted model, not a curated record. The transcript has 3 exons.